Triticum aestivum (bread wheat) is the source of this 113-nucleotide non-coding RNA. The record is from Rfam. Lineage: Eukaryota; Viridiplantae; Streptophyta; Magnoliopsida; Poales; Poaceae.
CAUCUACUCCCUCCGUUCGGAAUUACUUGUCACAAAAAGGAUGUAUCUGUAACUAAAAUACAUCUAGAUACAUUCAUUUUUGGACGAGUAAUUCCGAACGGAGGGAGUAAUUG